GAGGGCACUGUGGACCAACCUGACAGUGUGACAGGGAGGCCCGCGUCCCCCUCAGUGCAGUGACCACAGGAGGGCCCUUGCCAGCAGAGGCGCACCUUCAUCCCAGGGACCCUGGCCAUCAGGCUGCACGGUCGCCUGGCUCUCCCUGUGCCUGCUGGGACUCAGAGCCAAGGACCAGGUGUGUGCUGCCCAGGUGGGCACAGGGGCCGGGGCCAGGACCACUCACACCCAGCACGUCAGUGUCCUCAUUGCCACCACCCCUUUGCUAGUAAGUAACCUUCCAACAUAAUUCAGCCCGGUAAGGGCUGACUCUGUGGGUCAACUUGGUGGGGCCACGGCACCCAGGUAUUUGGUCAAGCAUUAUUGUGGAGGUUUCUGUGACGGUGAUUUGGGGAUAGGACUAACAUUUAAAUAAUCAGUGGACUUUUGAGUCCAGCAGAUUGUCGUCCAUGACAUGGGUGGGCCUUGCCCAACUAGUCGAAGGUCUGAAUGGAGCAAAGAGGAACCACCCUGAGCAAGGAAGAAUUCUGCCUGCAGACUGCCUUGGCACUCCAACUUCAGCCCUUCCCUUGGUCUCCAGCCUGCAGCCCUACCCAGAAAAUUUUG
RNAcentral lists this long non-coding RNA (606 nucleotides) under Marmota monax (woodchuck). Lineage: Eukaryota; Metazoa; Chordata; Mammalia; Rodentia; Sciuridae. The record is from RNAcentral.